GGCCCAUUAGCUUAGUGGUAGAGCAUCUCCCUCCUAAGGAGAAGGUCGCGCGUUCGAGCCGCGUGUGGGUCG
Aspergillus terreus NIH2624 is the source of this 72-nucleotide transfer RNA. It matches the Rfam family "tRNA". Rfam says of the family: Transfer RNA (tRNA) molecules are approximately 80 nucleotides in length. Their secondary structure includes four short double-helical elements and three loops (D, anti-codon, and T loops). Further hydrogen bonds mediate the characteristic L-shaped molecular structure. tRNAs have two regions of fundamental functional importance: the anti-codon, which is responsible for specific mRNA codon recognition, and the 3' end, to which the tRNAs corresponding amino acid is attached (by aminoacyl-tRNA synthetases). tRNAs cope with the degeneracy of the genetic code in two manners: having more than one tRNA (with a specific anti-codon) for a particular amino acid; and 'wobble' base-pairing, i.e. permitting non-standard base-pairing at the 3rd anti-codon position. The record is from Rfam. NCBI's taxonomy places the organism in Eukaryota, Fungi, Ascomycota, Eurotiomycetes, Eurotiales, Aspergillaceae.